UCGGGGUGCAGCAGGCGCGAAAACUUUACAAUGCGGGAAACCGUGAUAAGGGGACACCGAGUGCCAGCAUCAUAUGCUGGCUGUCCAGGUGUGUAAAAUACACCUGUUAGCAAGGGCCGGGCAAGACCGGUGCCAGCCGCCGCGGUAACACCGGCGGCCCGAGUGGUGAUCGUGAUUAUUGGGUCUAAAGGGUCCGUAGCCGGUUUGGUCAGUCCUCCGGGAAAUCUGACAGCUCAACCGUUAGGCUUUCGGGGGAUACUGCCAGGCUUGGAACCGGGAGAGGUAAGAGGUACUACAGGGGUAGGAGUGAAAUCUUGUAAUCCCUGUGAGACCACCUGUGGCGAAGGCGUCUUACCAGAACGGGUUCGACGGUGAGGGACGAAAGCUGGGGGCACGAACCGGAUUAGAUACCCGGGUAGUCCCAGCCGUAAACGAUGCUCGCUAGGUGUCAGGCAUGGCGCGACCGUGUCUGGUGCCGCAGGGAAGCCGUGAAGCGAGCCACCUGGGAAGUACGGCCGCAAGGCUGAAACUUAAAGGAAUUGGCGGGGGAGCAC
Molecule: ribosomal RNA, 554 nt
Filed under: uncultured archaeon
Lineage: Archaea
Description: bacterial SSU rRNA
Rfam family: Archaeal small subunit ribosomal RNA
Source: RNAcentral